This is a long non-coding RNA of Platichthys flesus (European flounder), 730 nucleotides long. RefSeq lists it as uncharacterized. Lineage: Eukaryota; Metazoa; Chordata; Actinopteri; Pleuronectiformes; Pleuronectidae. The record is from RefSeq and is a predicted model, not a curated record. The transcript is spliced from 6 exons.
UUGGAGAGAUGAGAGUAGAACCAGUCUAUUCAGGUUUUUAGGGCAACUCACAUAAUCCCAUCUGGACAGUGGUAGUUCUGUUUUAAACCACUUGUCCUUUUGUUGGUUUUAAUCAAUGGUUCUGUUUUUAUUUGAUCUAAAAUAUUCCAUUCCAUAUUCCAACAAUUUUCAUUCCUUAAACAGAUGGAAACAGAACUAUUUAUCUUUUUGAGUUGGGCAGUUCUGUUUAAGCCCGUUAUGAAAACUUUUUUAUUUGAAGUUCCAACCUCUUCCUUCUUCAGUUCAAGCUUUGUUCCAAGUGUUUAUGCAUGCUUUUCAAUCAAAAGUUGAUUGAAUUGAGUUACUUUUAUUUACUUCGCUUAUUAUUUGUACAGACACGUAGCUCACAGCCUCUCUUCUGGCCCCUGGAGAGAGCUUGGUGUGGAUGAUGUCCAGGGCCUAACAAAGCAAGAGUUCUCCAACAACUGCGACGUGUUUGUUUUGAUGUACACUCUGUACAUUGUAAUGGGGGCCAAGUGCGAUUUCAGCGAGGAAAACAUGCUGCAAAUUAGGAGAUGGUGGUGUCUCACUCUCCUGCAGAACUUCCCCAUGCCGUCUGAAGAAGACCGAUUGCAGGACAGGAAACGGCGACGAGUGGAAGGAGGGCUACAGACGCUGGGAAAUUGACAAAUUGCAAACCGGGAACAGGGUUGGAAGGAUGGUGAAAAUAAAAAAAAUCAAUGAUGCAAAG